This is a small nucleolar RNA of Lotus japonicus, 107 nucleotides long. NCBI's taxonomy places the organism in Eukaryota, Viridiplantae, Streptophyta, Magnoliopsida, Fabales, Fabaceae. The record is from RefSeq and is a predicted model, not a curated record.
AUAUUGUGUUGAGGACACUUCCUCAACAACCUCUUGUAUCUCUCCCAGGCCUCAUGCAAGUUCUCUGCUUCAGAUUGAGCAAAGUUGGUGAUCUCCUCUCCCUUUCU